AACAGUUGUUAACAAGUUUAGAAUGAAGUGUUUGGACAGUAGGAUUUCGUUGUAGAUAAAACAAAUAUUCACGGAACUCAACUCUGCUGAAGUUGGUUUAACAACUUGUGGAAGUAGACUCUGUCGCCUUGGAAAUGUGGAGUUGUUGGCUACAAUUCUCUGCGGUGCGAAGUUAUAUCACAACAUAUUUGCUUUGUAUUUAAUGUAAAUCUACUUUUCAUUGGGGAUAAAAUUGACUUUCUAAUAUUGGCUAGUUAAGCCACCCUGUACUUAUUUCUGUGAAUAAUCUCUGAUUCACAUUUUAUCAGUGGUGGAAAAAGUCCCCAAUUGUCAUAGGUUACUUUAGUAAAAGUGAAAGUCACCCAGUAAAAUACUACCUGAGUAAAAGUCUAACCAUCAAAAGUAAAUGUUAUUGCUAAAAUCAUUUUAAAUUCCUAGCAAACCAGACAGCACCAUUUUCUUGUUUUUCCUUGUAUUUACUGAUAGCCAGAGGGACACGCCAACACUCAGGCAUGACAAACGAAGCAUUUGUGUUUAGUGAGUCCUCCAGAUCAGAGGCAGUAGGGAUGACCAGGGAUGUUCUCUGUUUAGUGAGUCCUCCAGAUCAGAGGCAGUAGGGAUGACCAGGGAUGUUCUCUGUUUAGUGAGUCCACCAGAUCAGAGGCAGUAGGGAUAACCAGGGAUGUUCUCUGUUUAGUGAGUCCUCCAGAUCAGAGGCAGUAGUGAUGACUAGGGAUGUUCUCUGUUUAGUGAGUCCUCCAGAUCAGAGGCAGUAGUGAUGACCAGGGAUGUUCUCUGUUUAGUGAGUCAGUCAGAUCAGAGGCAGUAGGGAUGACCAGGGAUGUUCUCUGUUUAGUGAGUCCUCCAGAUCAGAGGCAGUAGUGAUGACCAGGGAUGUUCUCUGUUUAGUGAGUCCUCCAGAUCAGAGGCAGUAAGGAUGACCAGGGAUGUUCUCUGUUUAGUGAGUCCUCCAGAUCAGAGACAGUAGGGAUGACCAGGGAUGUUUCUCUUGAUAAGUGUGUGAAUUAGACCAUUUUCCUGUCCUGAUAAGCAUUCAGAAUGGAACGAGUAAAAAGUAUAAGAUUUUCUUUAGGAAUGUAGUGAAAUUAAAGUAAAAGUUGUCAAAUAUAAAUAGUAAAGUACAGAUACCCCCCCCCCUCCAAAAAAAACGACUUAAGUAGUACUUUAAAGUAUUUUUUACUGAAGUACUUUAUACCAUUGCAAUUGUAUAACCAUUUAACUAAGCAUAGCACAUCCAGUCAAGUGACUUGGUCACAGCCUACUGGAAACAGGCGUCAAUUCAACGUCCAUUUCAUUUCAUUGAAACAGCGCUGAUUCAAUCAGUGUGUUCCCAGUGGGAGGGUUACAUACACAAAACAUCCAUACAGUCAAUCAUUGUUGUGAGCAUCGACGACCCACACUCUGAUAACUGGAGAGACACUCACAUGAUACUCGGGGGUACAUCCCAAAUGGCCAACCUAUUCACUACGUAGUGCACUACUGUCCCACCUGGGCAAGAGGAAUACCUACAGUUGAAGACUCCAAACUAAGUGGUAUGUAAACUUCAGACUUCAACUGUAGGUAUUCCUCUUGUCCAGGUGGGACAGUAGUACACUACGUAGGGAAUAGGACGGCUAUUUGUGAUGUACCCCUGAGUAUCAUGUGAGUGUCUCUCCAGAAUACCUCAUGUGAGAAUUCUGUUCAUUGACUACAGCUCAGCCUUCAGCACCGUAGUACCCUCCAAGCUCAUCAUCAAGCUCGGGGUCCUGGGUUUGAACCCCGCCUUAUGCAAACUGGGUCAUGGACUUCCCGACGGGCCGCCACCCCGUCGGUAAAGGUAGGAAACAACAACCUCCACUUCGCUGAUCCUCAACACUGGGGCCCCACAAGGGUGCGUGCUCAGCCCCCUCCUGUACUUCCUGUUCACCCAUGACUGUGUGCCCACGCCUCCAACACAAUCAUCAAGUUUGCAGACGACACAACCAUAGUAGGCCUGAUUACCAACAAUGUCGAGACUUCCUACAGGGAGGAGGUGAGGGCCCUGGUGGAGUGGUGCCAGGAAAGUAACCUCUCCCUCAACAUCAACGAAACGAAGGAGCUGAUCAUGGACUUCAGGAAACAGAAGAGGGAGCACGCCCCCUAUCCACAUCGACGGAACCGCAGUGGAGAAGAUGCGCAAUUGAGAGCAUCCUGUCGGGCUGUAUCACCGCCUGGUACGGCAACUGCACCGUCCACAACCGUAAGGCUCUCCAGAGGGUAGUGAGGUCUACGCAACGCAUCACCGGGGGAAAACUACCUGCCCUCCAGGACACCUACACCACCCGAUGUUACAGGAAGGCCAUAAAGAUCAUCAAGGACAGCAACCACCCGAGCCACAGCCUGUUCACCCCGCUAUCAUCCAGAAGGCGAGGUCAGUACAGGUGCAUCAAAGCUGGGACCGAGAGACUGAUAAUCAGCUUGUAUCUCAAUGCCAUCAGACUGUUAAAUAGCCAUCACUAGCCAGCUACCACCUGGUUACUCAACCCUACACCUUAGAGGUUGCUGCCCUACAUACCUAGACAUGGAAUCACUGGUCACUAAUAAUGUUUACAUACUGCUUUACUCACCUCAUAUGUAUAUACUGUAUUUAAUCACUCUGACAUUGCUCAUCCUAAUAUUUAAACAUUUCUUAAUUCCAUUAAUUUUACUUUUAGAUUUGUGUGUAUUGUUGUGAAUUGUUAGAUACUAUUGCACUUUUAGAGCUAGAAACACAAGCAUUUCGCUACACCCGCAAUAACAUCUGCUAACCAUGUGUAUGUGACCAAUAACAUCUGCUAAAUAUGGGCAUGUGACCAAUAACAUCUGUUAAAUAUGGGCAUGUGACCAAUAACAUCUGCUAAAUAUGUGCAUGUGACCAAUAACAUCUGCUAAAUAUGGACCAAUAACAUCUGCUAAAUAUGUGACCAAUAACAUCUGUUAAAUAUGGACCAAUAACAUCUGCUAAAUAUGUGCAUGUGACCAAUAACAUCUGCUAAAUAUGUGCAUGUGACCAUUUGAUUGACUGAGUCAUAUGGGCCCUGGUCAAAAGUAGUUCACCGUGUACGGGAUAGGGUGCCGUUUGGGACACAACUUCAGCAGAGUUAUAAAUCUGUCCCCAUGAAGAGAACAGAGAACAGAGAACAGAGAACAGGGAACAGGGAACAGAGAACAGGGAACAGGGAACAGAGAACAGAGAACAGGGAACAGAGAACAGGGAACAGAGAACAGAGAACAGAGAACAGAGAACAGAGAACAGAGAACAGGGAACAGGGAACAGGGAACAGGGAACAGGGAACAGAGAACAGGAACAGGGAAUCCAAGAUCCAACAAGUUGUUUACUAUUUUGUAAUGAAAAAUCCAUGAAGUCAGCUGAGUUCUCUAAAAAUCAAUUUGCUGUUUCUCUUCUCUCUCUCUCUCUUCUCUCUCAUGGACUUGCCGUCUCGACCUCUGAAUGCUCUGGCUAUGAAAAGCCAACUGACAUUUACUCCUGAGGUACUGACCUGUUGCACCCUUCAAACCACUGUGGUUAUUAUUUGACCCUGCUGGUCAUCUAUGAACGUCUUGAUUAACGAUCUGGUCUUAAUGGACAGGUGCUCUUAAAAUCUCCACCCGAUUGAUCAAAUUAAAUGUUUUGUAACACCAAAACUAGCUGCCCACCAACGUGAAAGGAGACGAAAGAAUAACUUGACUGCAGUAUUGAAACACAUCAACCUGAGAUGUUUUGAAACGCGACAUCGUGUGUUGUAACACCAGUUAAUCAUGUGUUGUGUAACACCUUGCCAGGGACUGGGAGACCUGCCUCAAAAAGGUUCAAAACACUCAUUUGGUGUUUCGUGUUCUGUUUAGUACAGAAUUAGAUAAGCUUUCUCUCCCUCUAUAGCUUCUAAACACUAUGAUGGUGUUUCACCUCCUGUCUAGUACAGAAUUAGAUAAGCUUUCUCUCUCUCUCUAUAGCUUCUAAACACUAUGAUGGUGUUUCACCUCCUGUCUAGUGAAGAAUUAGAUCGCUCCUUCUGGAAUAUUCUAAUGGUUAACAUUGGUUUAUGUAUCUGAUCAUUUGCCAGUUUUAACCAUUUUUGGCAGGCAUUGUUGAGCACAGUGCUCCAACCACCAGCGGUGACUAGAGGUUUCACCAAUGAUGUACGUACAUGUAUAUGAACCCUGCAUUGUUAAUUGCUGUGUAUUGGCCAUUGACAGGCUUUGAAGCCUCCGGUCGGCCAUAUUGGUACUCCCCAGUAUCGGCCAUAUUGGUACUCCCCAGUAGGAACAGUUCUCCAUAGGAAUGGAUGGAAUUCUAUUUCAAUUAAAUGUUUCAAGGACAAAAUUACAUGUAUUUAAGUAUUACUUUGUUGGAGUGGGGACAAUAACAUUAGUAACCCCCCC
This is a long non-coding RNA of Oncorhynchus nerka (sockeye salmon), 4401 nucleotides long. RefSeq lists it as uncharacterized. Lineage: Eukaryota; Metazoa; Chordata; Actinopteri; Salmoniformes; Salmonidae. The record is from RefSeq and is a predicted model, not a curated record. The transcript is spliced from 2 exons.